RNAcentral lists this long non-coding RNA (282 nucleotides) under Physcomitrium patens. Its description in RNAcentral is "long non-coding RNA (PPAT_LNC004187)". The record is from RNAcentral. Lineage: Eukaryota; Viridiplantae; Streptophyta; Bryopsida; Funariales; Funariaceae.
GAUAAUACAAAAAUCUCUAAUAUUUGGUGAUUUGGCCACUUGUAGAGUAUAUCUGCCACAUGACCAUAGUAUGAUUCCACUGCCUCUCCUAGACCCAUUUUGAUAGUUAUUAAUCUUUCUAAAAGUCAAUCUUCAAAACCAAUUGGAUGAAAAUGGAUUAAAAAUACAUUCUUCAAUGCUUUCCAAUUGAAAAAUUGAUCCACUAGUUGAUGGUUGUAUCAUUCAAAUAUUGUGUCUUUCAAGGUUGCUGGCAACUAUCAUAACCAAAUAUCUUCAGUUCUU